This 497-nucleotide ribosomal RNA is filed under the name uncultured bacterium. RNAcentral describes it as "partial 16S ribosomal RNA". It matches the Rfam family "Bacterial small subunit ribosomal RNA", at positions 28 to 507 of the family's 1533-position model. The record is from RNAcentral.
GAUGAACGCUGGCGGCGUGCCUAAUACAUGCAAGUCGAGCGAACGGACGAGAAGCUUGCUUCUCUGAUGUUAGCGGCGGACGGGUGGGUAACAAGUGGAAAACCUCCUUAUAAGACUGGGAUAACUUCGGGAAACCGGAGUUAAUACCGGAUAAUAUUUUGAACCGCAUGGUUAAAAAGUGAAAGACGGUUUUGCUUUCACUUAUAGAUGGACCCGCGCUGCAUUAGCUAGUUGGUAAGGUAACGGCUUACCAAGGCAACGAUGCAUAGCCGACCUGAGAGGGUGAUCGGCCACACUGGAACUGAGACACGGUCCAGACUCCUACGGGAGGCAGCAGUAGGGAAUCUUCCGCAAUGGGCGAAAGCCUGACGGAGCAACGCCGCGUGAGUGAUGAAGGUCUUCGGAUCGUAAAACUCUGUUAUUAGGGAAGAACAUAUGUGUAAGUAACUGUGCACAUCUUGACGGUACCUAAUCAGAAAGCCACGGCUAAAUACGUG